This 32-nucleotide non-coding RNA is filed under the name Geobacter sulfurreducens PCA. The record is from RNAcentral. Lineage: Bacteria; Pseudomonadati; Thermodesulfobacteriota; Desulfuromonadia; Geobacterales; Geobacteraceae.
UAUUCCCAGGUUAGCGGUUGCAGCCACAGCAU